Molecule: long non-coding RNA, 1932 nt
Organism: Bubalus bubalis (water buffalo)
Lineage: Eukaryota; Metazoa; Chordata; Mammalia; Artiodactyla; Bovidae
Exons: 3
Source: RefSeq, a predicted model, not a curated record
UUUAAAGCUCUGAAAAUGUUUGUUUUCUAGAGUUUCUACAUUGUAUUUAUACAACAAGCCUUGCUUUUAAAAACAUGGUGUGAAAGUAAACUGCUGACAUUUUUCUGUACACCAUCACGAAUCUACUUAAUGAUUUGUACAUUACACUGUCCACAGGCAAAGAGAAUGUGGGAUUUCUGAGUCAAGGCUGACUGGGUUUCUGAGCUAGGGGGGCAGUGGAGAGAUUAAUUAAGCUUCUGUCCCUAACUGCAUGAGGACCCUGGAUCCUAGCAGGACCAUGUUUUAUCUAGCCCACCCUGUCUUGCCUCAGCCACUCUGUUGAUGCUCCCCUCAAAACCCAUCCAAGUAUGCCAGUCUCCCUGAAAAUGCUCAUUCUUUUGUGCAAAUCCAAGUGCUGCCUUGUCCUUAAGCCUGUCUCCAAUACCCUCAAUGUCUCUGGAUUCGUGCAGUCUUUUGUGUCUCUCUUAGACCUUUUCUUGCAACUUCUAUUUUUUUUCUUAGUUUCCCAUGCAUGUUUCUCAUUCACUGUCUGUAGGUAACACAAAAUACAGGGAAUGACCCUGAAUGUCCAUGUCUCCAAUGCAUUGUCAGAUGCCUUCUACAUCCUUUCCGAAUGGGAAUCUAUGUCUGUUCUGCUCUGGCACUGCCAUACAACUUCGGGGUAUAAUAGAGACUAUCUCCAUCUUUAACCCAAGGAGUUUUUGUAGUGAGAAAAGUCAGGAGAUACUUAGAAGACAGGGCACUAGUACAACAGUAAACGUGAAAGCCCUUUAGAUUAGCCUGGGCCUGGGGGUGCCAGAGUCAGGGAAACUUCUGAGAAGUUUAAGGUAUACCGAUAAUUGCUUAUCAGUCAGUCAGAUCGUUGUGUCUGUUUUAGAUCGUGGAAAUCAAAUAAUUAGUUAACAAAUUGUAUACACAUGGGCAAAAAAGCUUUGGUUUUAUGGAACAGACACUAAACUAGUUACAGCUGAACUAAAUAAGCAGCUCUGUCCAUCACUGGUCAAGUCACAAAGCCUGAGCCAUUUCAAGGAGAGGGCCUUACUCCGAAGAGCUCAUUCCUUUGCUUCCUGAGCAAACAGGGUUACCAUAGAAUGUGAUUCUUGUUUUGAUGUUGGUGUUUUCUAAUUGUCUGUCUGACUAGGCAGCACUUGGGUCUCUUUCACAGCAAAGGGGCUCUCUGAGCAAUUCACAGAUGUGCUGCAUGUUGAGAACUACUUCAAAGUUAUUGCGUACUUCAUAGGUGCAGGAUUGAAUGAGAGCAGGACACGCUGCAUGAGAAGGCAAGUAAAUAUUUUAUUUCCAGGCUGAUUUGCUGGUCAGUAUCACAUGAUUCUGAGAAGGAGAAUUUGGAGGGGAUCUUCAAUCAACUCAGGGAUUGAACCUGCAUUUCCUGCAUUGGCAGAUUUCUGUCCAGACCCAGGUAUCCAGGACAGAUGGAGGCCCUGGGGACCUUCCACCGCUUCAGGAAGCCAGAGCCUCCAUUCCCAGAGAGAGUCCACAGGCCCAAGGAAGCUAGCAGGUGGCUGAGCCAUUGCCAUGGAUGUGUGGCCCAACAGGAGCACCGGGUCCUCCAGCUGCUCCCAUGGCACCUCCAGGCUGUUUGUGGCAGACACAGCUUAGGUAGCCUCAGACACCUCUCACCCGAGUGACACAGCUGGGGUUAAACACAUUUACAUUUGACCCCAGGUGAAGCUGCAGUUCAGUGGAGCAGAGUGGACAUCAGGCAUGAGACCUUGCUAUGGUGAGAGUUGGACUCUGCAGACUGAGGUCAAAGAUACCUGGUCACAUCCCAGCCUCAGCACUUUGUGACCUGGGCCAGAAUUCUUUUAUUCUGAGCUCUGUGGUGUGUAUUUACUCAAUAAAUAUUUACUGGAGACCUAGUUGUACUAAACACCCCCCAGGGGUGCUGGGAACAUAGCCAUGAGUAAACAA